Molecule: ribosomal RNA, 846 nt
Filed under: Calycina fungorum
Lineage: Eukaryota; Fungi; Ascomycota; Leotiomycetes; Helotiales
Description: eukaryotic LSU rRNA
Rfam family: Eukaryotic large subunit ribosomal RNA
Source: RNAcentral
AGGGAUUACCUCAGUAACGGCGAGUGAAGCGGUAACAGCUCAAAUUUGAAAUCUGGCCCUUUCAGGGUCCGAGUUGUAAUUUGUAGAAGAUGCUUUGGGUGUGGCUCCGGUCUAAGUUCCUUGGAACAGGACGUCAUAGAGGGUGAGAAUCCCGUAUGUGACUGGCUGCCUCCGCCCGUGUAAAGCUCUUUCGACGAGUCGAGUUGUUUGGGAAUGCAGCUCAAAAUGGGUGGUAAAUUUCAUCUAAAGCUAAAUAUUGGCCAGAGACCGAUAGCGCACAAGUAGAGUGAUCGAAAGAUGAAAAGCACUUUGGAAAGAGAGUUAAACAGUACGUGAAAUUGUUGAAAGGGAAGCGCUUGCAAUCAGACUUGCGCGCGGUCGAUCAUCCGGGGUUCUCCCCGGUGCACUCGGCCGCGCUCAGGCCAGCAUCGGUUUUGGUGGUGGGAUAAAGGCCUUGGGAAUGUGGCUCCUCUCGGGGAGUGUUAUAGCCCUCGGUGCAAUGCCGCCUACCGGGACCGAGGACCGCGCUUCGGCUAGGAUGCUGGCGUAAUGGUUGCAAGCGACCCGUCUUGAAACACGGACCAAGGAGUCUAACAUUUAUGCGAGUGUUUGGGUGUUAAACCCAUACGCGGAAUGAAAGUGAACGGAGGUGAGAACCCUUAAGGGUGCAUCAUCGACCGAUCCUGAUGUCUUCGGAUGGAUUUGAGUAAGAGCAUAACUGUUGGGACCCGAAAGAUGGUGAACUAUGCCUGAAUAGGGUGAAGCCAGAGGAAACUCUGGUGGAGGCUCGCAGCGGUUCUGACGUGCAAAUCGAUCGUCAAAUUUGGGUAUAGGGGCGAAAGACUA